RNAcentral lists this ribosomal RNA (406 nucleotides) under uncultured bacterium. Its description in RNAcentral is "bacterial SSU rRNA". It matches the Rfam family "Bacterial small subunit ribosomal RNA", at positions 355 to 775 of the family's 1533-position model. The record is from RNAcentral.
UAGGGAAUAUUGCACAAUGGACGAAAGUCUGAUGCAGCGACGCCGCGUGAGUGAUGAAGGCCUUCGGGUUGUAAAGCUCUGUUCUUAGGGAAUAAAAAAAUGAAGGUACCUAAGGAGAAAGGACCGGCUAACUUCGUGCCAGCAGCCGCGGUAAUACGAGGGGUCCAAGCGUUGCUCGGAAUCAUUGGGCGUAAAGCGGGUGUAGGUGGCUUUGUAAGUCAGGAGUGAAAGCCCUAGGCUCAACCUAGGAAGUGCUUUUGAUACUGCGAAGCUUGAAUGUGGGAGAGGAUCGUGGAAUUCCAGGUGUAGUGGUGAAAUACGUAGAUAUCUGGAGGAACACCGGUGGCGAAGGCGGCGAUCUGGCCCAACAUUGACACUCAGACCCGAAAGUGCGGGGAUCAAACAG